CAGCUCCACUACUUACAGCGGAGUGACCUUAGGACAACUUAUUGUACAUUUGUCUCAGUUUCCAACAUCCCUAGAAUAGGGAUGAUAAGUCUUGUACAGAGGUUUCUGACGUGAGACAGUGAAUCAAAGUUCAUGGCACAGUGGCUGGCACACAGAUGGAAUUUCUUACUCUUGUUGGCCAGGAUGGAGUGCAAAUGGCAUGAUCUCGGCUCACCUCAACUUCUGCCUCCUGGGUUCAAGCGAUUCUCCUGCCUCAGUCUCCCGAGUAACUGGGAUUACAGGUGUGCACCACCAUGCCAGGCUAAUCUUGUACUUUUAGUAUAGAUGGGGUUUCUCCACGUUGAUCAGGCUGGUCUUGAACUCCCAAUCUCAGGUGAUCCAUCUGCCUUGGCCUCCCAAAGUUCUGGGAUUACAGGUGUGAGCCACUGUGCCUAGCCAAAAAAAAAAAAAAAAAAAAAAAAAAGCGUUUUAAAUUUAGUUGUAUCAGGUUUUGAAAACUAUUAUCAACAACUAAUUCCUCAAGUGAGUAUUUGGAAGGAAAAUUCAUCAAGUGA
This is a long non-coding RNA of Callithrix jacchus (white-tufted-ear marmoset), 554 nucleotides long. Lineage: Eukaryota; Metazoa; Chordata; Mammalia; Primates; Cebidae. The record is from Ensembl.